UGGGGAAUAUUGCACAAUGGGCGCAAGCCUGAUGCAGCCAUGCCGCGUGUGUGAAGAAGGCCUUCGGGUUGUAAAGCACUUUCAGCGAGGAGGAAGGUGGUGAACUUAAUACGUUCAUCAAUUGACGUUACUCGCAGAAGAAGCACCGGCUAACUCCGUGCCAGCAGCCGCGGUAAUACGGAGGGUGCAAGCGUUAAUCGGAAUUACUGGGCGUAAAGCGCACGCAGGCGGUUUGUUAAGUCAGAUGUGAAAUCCCCGGGCUCAACCUGGGAACUGCAUUUGAAACUGGCAAGCUAGAGUCUCGUAGAGGGGGGCUAGAAUUCCAGGUGUAGCGGUGAAAUGCGUAGAGAUCUGGAGGAAUACCGGUGGCGAAGGCGGCCCCCUGGACGAAGACUGACGCUCAGGUGCGAAAAGUGUGGGGAGCAAACAGGAUUAGAUACCCCUGGUAGUCCACGCUGUAAACGAUGUCGAUUUUGGAGGUUGUGCCCUUGAGGCGUGGCUUCCGGAGCUAACGCGUUAAAUCGA
This 525-nucleotide ribosomal RNA is filed under the name uncultured bacterium. RNAcentral's name for it is "partial 16S ribosomal RNA". It matches the Rfam family "Bacterial small subunit ribosomal RNA", at positions 355 to 868 of the family's 1533-position model. The record is from RNAcentral.